GAUGAACGCUGGCGGCGUGCCUAAUACAUGCAAGUCGAGCGAACAGAUGAGGAGCUUGCUCCUCUGACGUUAGCGGCGGACGGGUGAGUAGCACGUGGAUAACCUACCUAUAAGACUGGGAUAACUUCGGGAAACCGGAGCUAAUACCGGAUAAUAUAUUGAACCGCAUGGUUCAAUAGUGAGAGACGGUUUUGCUGUCACUUAUAGAUGGAUCCGCGCCGCAUUAGCUAGUUGGUAAGGUAACGGCUUACCAAGGCAACGAUGCGUAGCCGACCUGAGAGGGUGAUCGGCCACACUGGAACUGAGACACGGUCCAGACUCCUACGGGAGGCAGCAGUAGGGAAUCUUCCGCAAUGGGCGAAAGCCUGACGGAGCAACGCCGCGUGAGUGAUGAAGGUCUUCGGAUCGUAAAACUCUGUUAUUAGGGAAGAACAAAUGUGUAAGUAACUAUGCACGUCUUGACGGUACCUAAUCAGAAAGCCACGGCUAACUACGUG
RNAcentral lists this ribosomal RNA (497 nucleotides) under uncultured bacterium. Its description in RNAcentral is "partial 16S ribosomal RNA". It matches the Rfam family "Bacterial small subunit ribosomal RNA", at positions 28 to 507 of the family's 1533-position model. The record is from RNAcentral.